AAUUUUGCACAGUGGCAGUAUCAUAGCCAAUGAGGUUUAUCCGAGGUGCGAUUAUUGCUAAUUGAAAAACAGAUUGAUAAA
This is a small nuclear RNA of Myotis lucifugus (little brown bat), 81 nucleotides long. Its record names the gene U4. It matches the Rfam family "U4 spliceosomal RNA". From Rfam's summary of the family: U4 small nuclear RNA (U4 snRNA) is a component of the major U2-dependent spliceosome. The structure of U4 snRNA from yeast and human has been reported. Lineage: Eukaryota; Metazoa; Chordata; Mammalia; Chiroptera; Vespertilionidae. The record is from Ensembl.